Pseudophryne corroboree (corroboree frog) is the source of this 585-nucleotide long non-coding RNA. RefSeq lists it as uncharacterized. The transcript is spliced from 7 exons. The record is from RefSeq and is a predicted model, not a curated record. Lineage: Eukaryota; Metazoa; Chordata; Amphibia; Anura; Myobatrachidae.
CAUAGGGCGUUCUUUUCAGCUGAUACCAUGAUGGUUGGUGCGUGGCUAUUGUGUGAGAUCUGUUGCCGGGCCAUGCCAUGCUGCCGGUUUACCGCAGUCAGAGCUGGGCUAAGGCGGUUCGGCCCUGGGUGCUAGGGAGUGUGAUGCUGUUGAGCAUGCUGGACCAAACACCUGGCUGAUGAUAAAGCAGGUCUUUGCUGUCUGUCUUGAUGCGUACGAAGAAACCACACAAGCCACUUGGCUCAGAGGCCUGCAUGUCCAAACAAAAGGCUGCAAAUAAACAAGGUCUGACACCAUUUGGCAUGGUGGAUAGAAGUGGAUGGAUCUGCUGUCCUGAGUGACCAAGUGAACGAGCAGGUAGCAGCUACUCCAUAGUCUGGUGGGCUGCCCUUGUGCUGGAUUGAACAUGCCUGGUUUUUAGAUGGAAUGUGAAGACUUCAGUACAGAUCCUCCUUUCCUGCAUCUGUUUUUGGUUGCCUCAGCUUAUUCUGUGCUUAUCCCUCUGCUUCAAUAUGGUUUAUGCUGUAAAUGCUCCAGAGUGUUAAACAUUGAAGUAAAGUUGUAAUUAAACUUAUGUCUGCAGAA